GUUGUUUAGUUGAAAAUCAAUUAAAUAAUUUUUGAUUUUGAGUAGUAUUGACUUCAUCAGCUUGCUGCUCUCUUUUCGGAAAUUAUUUAAUGCACUUUUCAGUUAACAAGUCAACAUCAAUUUCUUUUGUUGUAAAAAGGUAAGAGGAAGGUGGCUUACAUUUCGGUGUAAGUGUUUAUAGCCUUUUACCUCUGCAAUCGGAGAGAUUGAGGUCAGCAGCGUAGACUCUUCGGGGUUAGAUACGCUUGUGCUAAGCUAUAGCCUUGUAUAGACAACUUGUUGACUAUACUCAGUCAUGUAGCUUACUCGCUUGCAGUAUUUUACCUAC
This 328-nucleotide ribosomal RNA is filed under the name uncultured Neocallimastigales. RNAcentral's name for it is "partial large subunit ribosomal RNA". Lineage: Eukaryota; Fungi; Neocallimastigomycota; Neocallimastigomycetes; Neocallimastigales. The record is from RNAcentral.